ACAUGUGGUUUAAUUCGAUGAUACGCGAGGAACCUUACCCGGGCUUAAAUUGCAGUGGAAUGAUGUGGAAACAUGUCAGUGAGCAAUCACCGCUGUGAAGGUGCUGCAUGGUUGUCGUCAGCUCGUGCCGUGAGGUGUCGGCUUAAGUGCCAUAACGAGCGCAACCCUUAUCUUUAGUUACUAACAGGUCAUGCUGAGGACUCUGGAGAGACUGCCGUCGUAAGAUGUGAGGAAGGUGGGGAUGACGUCAAAUCAGCACGGCCCUUACGUCCGGGGCUACACACGUGUUACAAUGG
Molecule: ribosomal RNA, 296 nt
Filed under: Bacteroides fragilis
Lineage: Bacteria; Pseudomonadati; Bacteroidota; Bacteroidia; Bacteroidales; Bacteroidaceae
Description: partial 16S ribosomal RNA
Rfam family: Bacterial small subunit ribosomal RNA
Source: RNAcentral